AGAGUUUGAUCCUGGCUCAGGAUGAACGCUAGCUACAGGCUUAACACAUGCAAGUCGAGGGGCAGCGGGAAGAAAGCUUGCUUUCUUUGCCGGCGACCGGCGCACGGGUGAGUAACGCGUAUCCAACCUUCCCCUUAGUAGGGCAUAGCCCGGCGAAAGUCGGAUUAAUACCCUAUGUUAUUCGUAGAGGACAUCUGAAAUGAAUCAAAGAUUUAUCGCUAAGGGAUGGGGAUGCGUCUGAUUAGGUAGUCGGCGGGGUAACGGCCCACCGAGCCUACGAUCAGUAGGGGUUCUGAGAGGAAGGUCCCCCACAUUGGAACUGAGACACGGUCCAAACUCCUACGGGAGGCAGCAGUGAGGAAUAUUGGUCAAUGGACGAGAGUCUGAACCAGCCAAGUAGCGUGCAGGAUGACGGCCCUAUGGGUUGUAAACUGCUUUUAUACGGGGAUAAAGUGAGGGACGUGUCCCUUUUUGUAGGUACCGUAUGAAUAAGGACCGGCUAAUUCCGUGCCAGCAGCCGCGGUAAUACGGAAGGUCCGGAUUUAUUGGGUUUAAAGGGAGCGCAGGCUGAUUGUUAAGCGUGACGUGAAAUGUAGCCGCUCAACGGCUGAACUGCGUCGCGAACUGGCAGUCUUGAGUGAGUACGACGUCAGCGGAAUUCGUGGUGUAGCGGUGAAAUGCUUAGAUAUCACGAAGAACCCCGAUUGCGAAGGCAGCUGACGAGUCCUUUACUGACGCUAAAGCUCGAAGGUGCGGGUAUCGAACAGGAUUAGAUACCCUGGUAGUCCGCACGGUAAACGAUGGAUGCCCGCUGUUGGCGAUACAGUGUCAGCGGCCAAGCGAAAGCGUUAAGCAUCCCACCUGGGGAGUACGCCGGCAACGGUGAAACUCAAAGGAAUUGACGGGGGCCCGCACAAGCGGAGGAACAUGUGGUUUAAUUCGAUGAUACGCGAGGAACCUUACCCGGGCUUGAACUGCAGCAGAACGAUCCAGAGAUGGUGAGGCCCUUCGGGGCUGCUGUGGAGGUGCUGCAUGGUUGUCGUCAGCUCGUGCCGUGAGGUGUCGGCUUAAGUGCCAUAACGAGCGCAACCCUUUCCGUUAGUUGCCAUCAGGUCAUGCUGGGCACUCUGGCGGUACUGCCACCGUAAGGUGUGAGGAAGGUGGGGAUGACGUCAAAUCAGCACGGCCCUUACGUCCGGGGCUACACACGUGUUACAAUGGGUGGUACAGAGAGUUGAGUGCCGGCAACGUCACUCCAAUCCUUAAAGCCAUCCUCAGUUCGGAUUGGGGUCUGCAACCCGACCCCAUGAAGCUGGAUUCGCUAGUAAUCGCGCAUCAGCCAUGGCGCGGUGAAUACGUUCCCGGGCCUUGUACACACCGCCCGUCAAGCCAUGAAAGCCGGGGGCGCCUGAAGUCCGUGACCGCGAGGGUCGGCCUAGGGUGAAACCGGUGAUUGGGGCUAAGUCGUAACAAGGUAGCC
Molecule: ribosomal RNA, 1480 nt
Filed under: uncultured rumen bacterium
Lineage: Bacteria
Description: bacterial SSU rRNA
Rfam family: Bacterial small subunit ribosomal RNA
Source: RNAcentral